UACGUAGGGUGCGAGCGUUGCCCGGAUUUAUUGGGCGUAAAGGGCGCGUAGGCGGUGAGAUGCGUCCGUUGUGAAAUCGCCCGGCUCAACUGGGGAGGGUCACGCGAUACUGAUCGACUGGAAGGCAGGAGAGGGUAGUGGAAUUCCCGGUGUAGUGGUGAAAUGCGUAGAUAUCGGGAGGAACACCAGUGGCGAAGGCGACUACCUGGCCUGUUCUUGACGCUGAGGCGCGAAAGCGUGGGGAGCAAACAGG
This 253-nucleotide ribosomal RNA is filed under the name uncultured bacterium. RNAcentral describes it as "partial 16S ribosomal RNA". It matches the Rfam family "Bacterial small subunit ribosomal RNA", at positions 524 to 776 of the family's 1533-position model. The record is from RNAcentral.